This 156-nucleotide unclassified non-coding RNA is filed under the name uncultured Tolypocladium. RNAcentral's name for it is "sequence contains ITS2". The record is from RNAcentral. Lineage: Eukaryota; Fungi; Ascomycota; Sordariomycetes; Hypocreales; Clavicipitaceae.
CAACCCUCGAGCCCCCAGCGGGCUCGGUGUUGGGGACCGGCCCCGGCCGCCCCCGAAAUGCAGUGGCGACCCCGCCGCAGCCUCCCCUGCGUAGUAGCACAACCUCGCACCGGAGCGCGGAGACGGUCACGCCGUAAAACGCCCAACUUCUCAGAG